This 406-nucleotide ribosomal RNA is filed under the name uncultured bacterium. RNAcentral describes it as "partial 16S ribosomal RNA". It matches the Rfam family "Bacterial small subunit ribosomal RNA", at positions 29 to 526 of the family's 1533-position model. The record is from RNAcentral.
AUUGAACGCUGGCGGCAGGCCUAACACAUGCAAGUCGAGCGAGCGGCGGACGGGUGAGUAAUGUAUGGGGACCUGCCUGAUAGAGGGGGAUAACUACUGUAAACGGUGGCUAAUACCGCAUACUAUCCGAUGAACCCACAUGGGAUUAGCUAGUAGGUGGGGUAAAGGCUCACCUAGGCGACGAUCGCUAGCUGGUAUGAGGGGAUGAUAAGCCACAAUGGGACUGAGAAACGGCCCAGAAUCCUGAGGGAGGCAGCAGGGGGGAAUAUUGCACAAUGGGCGGAAGCCGGAUGCAGCCAUGCCGCGUGUAUGAAGAAGGCCUUAGGGUUGUAAAGUACUUUCAGCGGGGAGGCGUUACCCGCAGAAGAAGCACCGGCUAACUCCGUGCCAGCAGCCGCGGUAAUUC